CCCGGGCGCGGUGGCGCUGUGCCUGUAGUCCCAGCUACUCGGGAGGCUGAGGUGGGAGGAUCGCUUGAGCCCAGGAGUUCUGGGCUGUUGUGUGCUAUACCGAUUGGGUGUCCACACUAAGUUCAGCAUCAAUAUGGUGACCUCCUGGCAGCGGGGGACCACCAGGUUGCCUAAGGAGGGGUGAACAGGCCCAAGUCGGAAACGGAGCAGAUCAAAACUCCCGUGCUGAUCAGUAGUGGGAUCACACCUGUGAAUAGUCACUACACUCCAGCCGGGGCAACAUAAGACCCUGUCUCU
RNAcentral lists this signal recognition particle RNA (297 nucleotides) under Aotus nancymaae (Ma's night monkey). RNAcentral's name for it is "Metazoan signal recognition particle RNA (ENSANAG00000005829.1)". It matches the Rfam family "Metazoan signal recognition particle RNA". From Rfam's summary of the family: The signal recognition particle (SRP) is a universally conserved ribonucleoprotein. It is involved in the co-translational targeting of proteins to membranes. The record is from RNAcentral. Lineage: Eukaryota; Metazoa; Chordata; Mammalia; Primates; Aotidae.